GAUGAACGUUGGCGGUGUGCCUAAUACAUGCAAGUCGAACGAAGUUGAUAGCGAUAUUAGCUUAGUGGCGAACGGGUGAGUAACGCGUUGGUGAUCUGCCUUGAAGUGUGGAAUAACGUUUCGAAAGGAACGCUAAUACCACAUGUGCUCUCGAUUUUCAGAAAGUUGAGAGUAAAGGAUUUAUUCGCUUCAAGAGGAGCCUGCGUCCCAUCAGCUGGUUGGUAGGGUAACGGCCUACCAAGGCUAUGACGGGUAGGGGACCUGAGAGGGUGGCCCCCCACAAUGGAACUGAAACACGGUUCCAUACACCUACGGGUGGCAGCAGUAGGGAAUAUUAGAAAUGGACGAAAGUCUGAUCUAGCAACACCGCGUGUGCGAAGAAGGCCUUCGGGUCGUAAAGCACUUUUUGGAAGGAAUAGGAAGGAAUGUACUUCCAGAAUAAGUCUCGGCUAACUACGUGCCAGCAGCCGCGGUAAAACGUACGUG
RNAcentral lists this ribosomal RNA (486 nucleotides) under uncultured bacterium. Its description in RNAcentral is "bacterial SSU rRNA". It matches the Rfam family "Bacterial small subunit ribosomal RNA", at positions 28 to 533 of the family's 1533-position model. The record is from RNAcentral.